This 465-nucleotide ribosomal RNA is filed under the name uncultured bacterium. RNAcentral describes it as "partial 16S ribosomal RNA". It matches the Rfam family "Bacterial small subunit ribosomal RNA", at positions 28 to 507 of the family's 1533-position model. The record is from RNAcentral.
GACGAACGCUGGCGGCGUGCUUAACACAUGCAAGUCGAACGGAAAGGCCCUGCUUGCAGGGUACUCGAGUGGCGAACGGGUGAGUAACACGUGGGUGAUCUGCCCUGCACUUCGGGAUAAGCCUGGGAAACUGGGUCUAAUACCGGAUAGGAGCCAUUUUUAGUGUGAUGGUUGGAAAGUUUUUUCGGUGUAGGAUGAGCUCGCGGCCUAUCAGCUUGUUGGUGGGGUAAUGGCCUACCAAGGCGGCGACGGGUAGCCGGCCGGGGGGGGUGGACGGCCGCAGUGGGGCUGGGGGGCGGCGCAGGCGGGGACGGGGGGGAGCAGGGGGGAAGAUUGCACGAGGGGCGCGAGCCGGAUGCAGCGAGGCCGCGGGGGGGAGGACGGCCUUCGGGUUGGAAACGCGUUGCGCUAGGGACGAAGCUUUUUGUGACGGUACCUAGAUAAGAAGCGCCGGCUAACUACGUG